This 268-nucleotide ribosomal RNA is filed under the name uncultured prokaryote. RNAcentral describes it as "partial 16S ribosomal RNA". It matches the Rfam family "Bacterial small subunit ribosomal RNA", at positions 524 to 792 of the family's 1533-position model. The record is from RNAcentral.
UAUGGAGGUUGCAAGCGUUGUUCGGAAUGACUGGGCGUAAAGGGAGCGCAGGCGGCCAAGUCAGUCUGAAGUGAAAGCCCGGGGCUUAACCCCGGAAUAGCUUUGGAUACUGCCUGGCUUAAGUGUGCGAUAGGAAAGCGGAAUUCCAGGUGUAGCGGUGAAAUGCGUAGAUAUCUGGAGGACACCGGUGGCGAAAGCGGCCUCCUGGACCAUUCCUGACACUCAGACGCGAAAGCUAGGGUAGCAAACAGGAUUAGAUACCCGCGUA